CACUCCUACGGGAGGCAGCAGUGGGGAAUUUUGGACAAUGGGCGAAAGCCUGAUCCAGCCAUGCCGCGUGCAGGAUGAAGGCCUUCGGGUUGUAAACUGCUUUUGUACGGAACGAAACGGCCUUUUCUAAUAAAGAGGGCUAAUGACGGUACCGUAAGAAUAAGCACCGGCUAACUACGUGCCAGCAGCCGCGGUAAUACGUAGGGUGCAAGCGUUAAUCGGAAUUACUGGGCGUAAAGCGUGCGCAGGCGGUUAUGUAAGACAGUUGUGAAAUCCCCGGGCUCAACCUGGGAACUGCAUCUGUGACUGCAUAGCUAGAGUACGGUAGAGGGGGAUGGAAUUCCGCGUGUAGCAGUGAAAUGCGUAGAUAUGCGGAGGAACACCGAUGGCGAAGGCAAUCCCCUGGACCUGUACUGACGCUCAUGCACGAAAGCGUGGGGAGCAAACAGGAUUAGAAACCCGAGUAGUCCCAUG
RNAcentral lists this ribosomal RNA (474 nucleotides) under uncultured organism. RNAcentral describes it as "partial 16S ribosomal RNA". It matches the Rfam family "Bacterial small subunit ribosomal RNA", at positions 334 to 799 of the family's 1533-position model. The record is from RNAcentral.